Molecule: ribosomal RNA, 1254 nt
Filed under: uncultured Acinetobacter sp.
Lineage: Bacteria; Pseudomonadati; Pseudomonadota; Gammaproteobacteria; Moraxellales; Moraxellaceae
Description: bacterial SSU rRNA
Rfam family: Bacterial small subunit ribosomal RNA
Source: RNAcentral
CUUGCUACCUGACCUAGCGGCGGACGGGUGAGUAAUGCUUAGGAAUCUGCCUAUUAGUGGGGGACAACAUUCCGAAAGGAAUGCUAAUACCGCAUACGCCCUACGGGGGAAAGCAGGGGAUCUUCGGACCUUGCGCUAAUAGAUGAGCCUAAGUCAGAUUAGCUAGUUGGUGGGGUAAAGGCCUACCAAGGCGACGAUCUGUAGCGGGUCUGAGAGGAUGAUCCGCCACACUGGGACUGAGACACGGCCCAGACUCCUACGGGAGGCAGCAGUGGGGAAUAUUGGACAAUGGGCGAAAGCCUGAUCCAGCCAUGCCGCGUGUGUGAAGAAGGCCUUUUGGUUGUAAAGCACUUUAAGCGAGGAGGAGGCUACUUAGAUUAAUACUCUAGGAUAGUGGACGUUACUCGCAGAAUAAGCACCGGCUAACUCUGUGCCAGCAGCCGCGGUAAUACAGAGGGUGCGAGCGUUAAUCGGAUUUACUGGGCGUAAAGCGUGCGUAGGCGGCUUCUUAAGUCGGAUGUGAAAUCCCUGAGCUUAACUUAGGAAUUGCAUUCGAUACUGGGAAGCUAGAGUAUGGGAGAGGAUGGUAGAAUUCCAGGUGUAGCGGUGAAAUGCGUAGAGAUCUGGAGGAAUACCGAUGGCGAAGGCAGCCAUCUGGCCUAAUACUGACGCUGAGGUACGAAAGCAUGGGGAGCAAACAGGAUUAGAUACCCUGGUAGUCCAUGCCGUAAACGAUGUCUACUAGCCGUUGGGGCCUUUGAGGCUUUAGUGGCGCAGCUAACGCGAUAAGUAGACCGCCUGGGGAGUACGGUCGCAAGACUAAAACUCAAAUGAAUUGACGGGGGCCCGCACAAGCGGUGGAGCAUGUGGUUUAAUUCGAUGCAACGCGAAGAACCUUACCUGGUCUUGACAUAGUAAGAACUUUCCAGAGAUGGAUUGGUGCCUUCGGGAACUUACAUACAGGUGCUGCAUGGCUGUCGUCAGCUCGUGUCGUGAGAUGUUGGGUUAAGUCCCGCAACGAGCGCAACCCUUUUCCUUAUUUGCCAGCGGGUUAAGCCGGGAACUUUAAGGAUACUGCCAGUGACAAACUGGAGGAAGGCGGGGACGACGUCAAGUCAUCAUGGCCCUUACGACCAGGGCUACACACGUGCUACAAUGGUCGGUACAAAGGGUUGCUACCUAGCGAUAGGAUGCUAAUCUCAAAAAGCCGAUCGUAGUCCGGAUUGGAGUCUGCAACUCGACUCCAUGAAGUCG